Molecule: long non-coding RNA, 5131 nt
Filed under: Physcomitrium patens
Lineage: Eukaryota; Viridiplantae; Streptophyta; Bryopsida; Funariales; Funariaceae
Description: long non-coding RNA (PPAT_LNC006527)
Source: RNAcentral
UUAGGGUUUGAUUUAGGAUUUAGGAUUUGGAUUAGGUUUUGGUUUAGGGUUUAGAAUUUGGUUAGGCUUUGAUUUAAGAUUUAGAAUUUGAUUAGGGUUUGAUUUAGGGUUUAGGAUUUGAUUUAGGAUUUAGUUAGGAUUUGGUUUAGCAUUUGAUUGGGAUUUGGUUUAAGGUUUGUUUAGGGUUUGAUUCAAGGUUUAGGAUUUUAUUAGGAUUUAAGAUUUAAUUAGUUUUGGCCUAAAGUUUGAAUGAAGUUCAAUAGGAUUUUAACUAGAAUUAAAUUAAGAUUGAAUUGAGAUGUAUUUGAGUGAUAUUUGUGAUCCUUCUAAUAUUUCUUUAAGAAUUCUUAUUGUUUGUUUGAAAUUUCUUUGAGAUUUUUUUGAAUUUGAUUAAGCUUGCUUAGCAUUAUUAUGGUCUAAUUAGAGCAUUGUUAGUAUUCUAUUAGAAUUAGGAUUUUGUUAUUACAAUUUCCAUUCUUCCUUCCACAGCUAGGUGCCCAGAGCAAUAUCAAGCAAGACUUCACGUAUUACGAUAUAUUUGAUGAAUCUGACAUAAAACGCUUGAGGUGGAAGGAAUUUGGUUUUCUUGGAUUAUUUAUAUUUUGGAGAAGAAAGACGAGAAAGUUGGAAGAAGUGCUUUAGGUGAUAAGUGAAUUCAAAAUUUUGGAUUCUUGGAGCUUUGGAGACUAUCUUAAUAUACAAUGGUAAUAUUUGGAUUAUCAUGGAAUAUUAUAAGGCUUUAUAGAUAUGUUGGAGCAUUUUGAAGUAACAUAAGGUAUUUAUUGGAGCAUUUUGAAGUAACAUAAGGUAUUUAUUGGAGCAUUUCAAAGAAUAUUUUUUAUCAUUGUAGAACAAAAUGGAAGAUGUGUCAUCAAAGUUUUUGGAUAUGUCAAAUAUUAUGGAUCGAUCAAAUAUUAGUGAUUUUUUUAAGGCUUUCUAUAUAUUCAUGGAGAAGCAACAAAGAAUGCAAGAAAUUGAAAAAGAUAUCACAAGGGCAUUGCAAGGAGUCAUCAACAAAUUUGGGAGGUUUGAAGAAUGCAACAUCACUAAGUUUUUGCAAGUUUAUACAUGUGAGAUGGACACAUGCCAAAUCCCUAAGGCAAAGAUGAUUUCAAGCUUAUAUUUGGCUAUUGAACCUAGAUUUUAGAUAAAGGUGAAGAGAUUGCUUGAAGGGGGUAUAGAAACAUGGUCAAAAUUUCAAGAACUUUUGAAGAAAGAAUUUAUUGAUGGAUAUGAAGAUAGGAUUACCAAGUAAAAGUUUUUGAAUUGGAUAGAAUUUCAAUCAGGCAAGCAUAUGGAUCUUUAUGAAUUCUUAGAAGAAUUUGAUAGGAGAUUUUAUCAACUCUCAUCCUUAGAGAGACAAUCAUUGGGUGCUUUAAAGGUAGAUUUGUUUUUAAAUGGUCUUGAUGAUGCCUUGGGAGAUGAGGUUUUCAUGCUUCUUGAAGAUGAGGCUAUGGGGAGUGAUUAUACUAAUAAUUGGGAGAAGUUGAAGAAAGUAGUGGUUUUUUUAGCAAGGCAAUAAGAAGCAAAAGCUAAAGAAGUUUCAAUAUGGCCUAAGAAAUCUUCUACUUUGGCUUCUAUGUCAUCUUUAUUAAUACAAGGAACUAAUCUUAAAAAAAAAGAAAUAGAAGAGCAAAUAGGGGAUUUUAAUGGAGAAGCCAAUUCUUUAUAGAUGAAAGAAAUUGGAUCUUAUACCAAGGGUGGUGAAGGAGAGAAGAAAGAUUCUUUUCAAACUAUUACUAUAGAAGGCUAAGGUAUUCAAAAAUUUGAAGGUAAUAUGAAGAUUAAGGAUUGAGAAACUAAUGACAAUGCGGUUGGAAGCUAUGGCUAUUCUAUAUUGAAUAAGUUUGUACAAGUUGGUGAUGGCAAUUUGGAUGAAAAAUCUUUUGGUGAUGAAAAGGCAUUUUCUACAUUUGAAGGAGGUAUCAAGGACAAGAACUCGAUAAAAAAGUAAUUCAGACAAGUGAGCCUUCACUCAAAGAAAAUUAACAAAAUAUAAAUAAAUAAGUAUGUAUAUUGAAAGUGAAACUGGGAUGGCUAUUGCCAAAAGACAAAAAAACUAGAGGCCCUUGAAACUAGAUUGAAAGCAAGAAAAGAGUUGACAAGAGUGAAGAAGGCUUCACUCUUGUCUUUAUAUAUACUAUCUAACUAAAGACUACAUGGCGACAUUCUAUAGGACCUCCAAUAUGUGUUGACUUUAUAGGACAUAUGCCUUGACUUACAAGGCAAGUUUUUCUAUGUGUGGGCCAUAUAGUUAGCUUGGUCUUCAAGCUAACAACAUGUAAGGCACAUGGUCAACUUGUUGACUACGUUUCUAAUCCAAAAAGUCAAUUAAAGAUACCUAUGAAGUCAAAGUAGUAUCUAUGAAGCUUCUAGAAAGCUUCCAUAUCAAAUACUAUAGAAUUAACUUAUUUUUACUUACUUUUAUUUAUUUCUGCAUAUUUGUAUAUGUAAUUAUGAGUAUGUCCAUGACAAGAGGUGAGGAUGUUUUGCCUAAUACUUUGGAUUAUGUUGAAGAAUUUAAGGUUGAACCUUUACAAAAAAUAGAUUAUGGAUCCAUUGAAGGUUAUAAUCAUGAAGAUUGUAUGAGUUCUCAAUAUUAUGAUAUGAGCAGUGGUGGGAUUAUGCAUGGAUUUGAUGAUGAAAGUCAAAUUGCAUAUGGCUAUGAGACCACAUAUGAGUUGGCUAAAAGAAGUUAUGAAUUUUCACAUGAUUAUUAUAAAGAGGGUUAUAAGAUUGCAUAAGGUUAUGAUACUAAAUGUGGUUGUGAAAUCACAAAGGAUUAUUGUGAAAGUUAUGAGACUUUUCAAGAGCAUGAGAUUUCAAACAAGCAUGAGAAUUUUCAAUAUUAUGAGGUUAUACGAUGCUUCGAGACAACAAAAGAUUAUGAUAUUUCACAAGGAUGCAUUCAAGAAGACAUGAAGGAUGUUAUACAAAAUUAUGUGGCAAAUGAAGAUUAUGGAACAAAAGAUAAGGAUGCUAAGUCAUUGACUAUGAUUAAGUUAAUUGUGAGCACUUCUCUAUUGGACCAAGGUUAAAGUUACAUAGAUAAUUCACAUGUAAUGGAAAUACAAUUGGAUGUUGACAAAGAUAAGAUUUAUCAUCAAGUAUGGAAUUCAAGGAUUGAAAAUCUAAAAAUCUUCAAAUAUAAAGACAAGAGAAAUGGAUUUAAAGAUUACAUGGACAUCAUAAAUGGGACUUGGAAUCAAAGAAAUAAGAAAAAAGAUACAAGCAAGAUAUAUGUGGCUAUGUGGAAGAGGUUUCAAUUCAAUCUUUUCAUUUCAAAUUUUUUACCUCGUCAAUGGUUUGAUCAUGUACAAAGGAGGAUAUUUGCAAACUACUUGCACAUGUGGAGUAAAUGGAAACAUUGGCAUUAAAAUUUAUAUAUAUAUAUAUAUAUAUAUAUAUAUAUAUAUAUAUAUAUAUAAAGAUUUUGGAGAAGUAUCAUUGUAAAGCAAGACUAUGGAGGUAUAAAAGGGGGAUACAUUUACAAGAUAUAGAUGCCUUUGAUUUAAGUUUUAUUGAAAAAAAAAAAAAAAAAAAAAAAAAAAAAAAAUUAGAGAAGUAUCAUUGUAAAGUAAGAGUAUGGAGAUAUAAAAAGGGAGGUAAAUUUACAAGAUAUAGAUGCCUUUGAUUUAAGUUUUAUUGAAAAAAAAAAAUUUAGAGAAGUAUCAUUGUAAAGCAAGACUAUGGAGGUAUAAAAAGGGAGGUACAUUUACAAGAUAUAGAUGCCUUUGAUUUAAUUUUUAUUGGAAAAAAAAAAAAAAAAAAAAAAAAAAAAAUUGGGAAGUUUCUUUGUAAAGCAAGACUAUGGAGGUAUAAAAAGGGAGGUACUUUUACAAGAUAUAGGGGCCUUUGAUUUAAGUUAAAAAAAAAAAAAAAAAAAAAAAAAAAAAAUGAUUGAGAAAGAAUUAUGUGAGUUAGGAAUAUUGGAAGAUGAUGAAAGAUUUUUGAUAUUUAUCAAGAAAAUGGAUUGAAAGAUUCUUGAAAGAAAUUGCAUAUAUUGGAUUAAAGGAUGAUGACAAUAGAAGCGAGUGAAGAUAUUCAAACAAAAGCAAAUAUAAAUAAAUAUAGAAGACUUUGUCAAAGACAUAAAUCUUUCAAGACAACAAGAUGACUUUGAUUUGAAUAGCGAAUAUCAAGAAGAAUUGGAUGAGGACAUUAAAAAUAUUGUAUGAAUCAAAUAAAGUUGGAUUAUUUGGUGCAUACCGGAGGAUGCACAAGUUCAGAGGAGGUGGAUGUCGUGUUAUAACACGACUAUGUAGUGAAAGAUGAUAACAUGAAUCUUAUUAUAGAAGAGCCAAGUUAAAAGAAAAAGUAGAAAAAUAUGAAUAAAAGAUAGGAAGGUAAUAAAACUUUUAGUAGCAAUGUUGCCUUUUUAGAAGGUAACUUCUACUUACUUUGUAGCACCAUAAGUAAGGCAAAAUAAGGUAGAUUGGAAAAAUAAAUGAUAUAAACAUCUUUAGGAGGAAGUUAAGAGUAAAUUCUAGAAAAAAAAAUUACUUAAAAAAACUAGAUAUUGAUACCCAGAGAGGGUCGGUUAUGAAUCAGGGUAUGAAUCAGGGUCGAAAUCAAACCCUGGGGCACAAAACCGAGUCUCAACAAUGACUCUAGAGUCUUUGGCAGAUUGGAGAGUGGGAUUUGAUAGAAGAGUAGAUUAGGGUUUGGUUAGGAUUUGAUUUAGGAUUUUAGGUUUGGAUUAGGUUUUGGUUUAGGAUUUAGGAUUUAGAUUAGGUUUUGGUUUAGGGUUUAGAAUUUGGUUAGGCUUUGAUUUAAGAUUUAGAAUUUGAUUAGGGUUUGAUUUAGGGUUUAGGAUUUGAUUUAGGAUUUAGUUAGGAUUUGGUUUAGCAUUUGAUUGGGAUUUGGUUUAAGGUUUGUUUAGGGUUUGAUUCAAGGUUUAGGAUUUUAUUAGGAUUUAAGAUUUAAUUAGUUUUGGCCUAAAGUUUGAAUGAAGUUCAAUAGGAUUUUAACUAGAAUUAAAUUAAGAUUGAAUUGAGAUGUAUUUGAGUGAUAUUUGUGAUCCUUCUAAUAUUUCUUUAAGAAUUCUUAUUGUUUGUUUGAAAUUUCUUUGAGGUUUUUUUUGAAUUUGAUUAAGCUUGCUUAGCAUUAUUAUGGUCUAAUUAGAGCAUUA